RNAcentral lists this long non-coding RNA (344 nucleotides) under Hordeum vulgare. RNAcentral describes it as "long non-coding RNA (HVUL_LNC019533)". Lineage: Eukaryota; Viridiplantae; Streptophyta; Magnoliopsida; Poales; Poaceae. The record is from RNAcentral.
UCAAAUCAUGCAUAUAAGAAAUCAGCAAAGACUCAAAUAUAUAUCAUAGAUAAUCUGAUCACAACUCCACAAUUCAACGGAUCUCGACAAACACACCGCCAAAGAAGAUUACAUCGGAUCGAUCCCCAUGAAGAUCAUGGAGAACUUUGUAUUGAAGACCAAAGAAAGAGAAGAAGCCAUCUAGCUACUAACUACGGACCCGUAGGUAUGAAGUGAACUACUCAUGAGUCAUUGGAGGGGCGAUGAUGAUGAUGAAGAAGCCCUCCACCUCCAAAGUCCCCUCCGGCAGGGCGCCGGGAAGGGUCUCCAGAUGAGAUCUCGUGGAAACGGAAGCUUGCGGCGGC